Molecule: long non-coding RNA, 274 nt
Filed under: Lathyrus oleraceus (garden pea)
Lineage: Eukaryota; Viridiplantae; Streptophyta; Magnoliopsida; Fabales; Fabaceae
Description: Pisum sativum (pea) long non-coding RNA (PSAT_LNC037701)
Source: RNAcentral
GAUCAUCCACAAGGAAAUAAGUCAGUGGAGAAUGAGAAAGGUGAAAUUAUUUCUGCUUAAGGGGGCUGACACUCUAUAAUUGAAAGAGGACAUACAUACUAAAUCUGCGUCAGGGGAAAGGACACCACCAUAGCAGAGGAUAAUGAAUCACAAAGGGCAUUAAUAAUGAAAUGAUGAAAUCUAUGAAUGUAUAUGUAUAUUUAUAUAUGAUGAUUAUGCUGACAAAACGAUCGCAAAGGAUACAAAUAUCAUUGGUAUGAAUCAUCGAUACAAC